Molecule: ribosomal RNA, 566 nt
Filed under: Pseudomonas sp. M47copaA
Lineage: Bacteria; Pseudomonadati; Pseudomonadota; Gammaproteobacteria; Pseudomonadales; Pseudomonadaceae
Description: bacterial SSU rRNA
Rfam family: Bacterial small subunit ribosomal RNA
Source: RNAcentral
UGCAAGUCGAGCGGAUGAAGGGAGCUUGCUCCCUGAUUCAGCGGCGGACGGGUGAGUAAUGCCUAGGAAUCUGCCUGGUAGUGGGGGACAACGUUUCGAAAGGAACGCUAAUACCGCAUACGUCCUACGGGAGAAAGCAGGGGACCUUCGGGCCUUGCGCUAUCAGAUGAGCCUAGGUCGGAUUAGCUAGUUGGUGAGGUAAUGGCUCACCAAGGCGACGAUCCGUAACUGGUCUGAGAGGAUGAUCAGUCACACUGGAACUGAGACACGGUCCAGACUCCUACGGGAGGCAGCAGUGGGGAAUAUUGGACAAUGGGCGAAAGCCUGAUCCAGCCAUGCCGCGUGUGUGAAGAAGGUCUUCGGAUUGUAAAGCACUUUAAGUUGGGAGGAAGGGUUGUAGAUUAAUACUCUGCAAUUUUGACGUUACCGACAGAAUAAGCACCGGCUAACUCUGUGCCAGCAGCCGCGGUAAUACAGAGGGUGCAAGCGUUAAUCGGAAUUACUGGGCGUAAAGCGCGCGUAGGUGGUUUGUUAAGUCGGAUGUGAAAUCCCCGGGCUCAACCUGG